UACGUAGGGACCAAGCGUUGUUCGGAUUUACUGGGCGUAAAGGGCGCGUAGGCGGCAAUUCAAGUCAUCUGUGAAAUCUCCGAGCUUAACUCGGAACGGUCAGAUGAUACUGCUUUGCUAGAGUGCAGAAGGGGCAACCGGAAUUCUUGGUGUAGCGGUGAAAUGCGUAGAUAUCAAGAGGAACACCGGAGGUGAAGACGGGUUGCUGGGCUGACACUGACGCUGAGGCGCGAAAGCGUGGGGAGCAAACAGG
This 253-nucleotide ribosomal RNA is filed under the name uncultured bacterium. RNAcentral's name for it is "partial 16S ribosomal RNA". It matches the Rfam family "Bacterial small subunit ribosomal RNA", at positions 524 to 776 of the family's 1533-position model. The record is from RNAcentral.